UGUUUCGGCUAGGGGGCCAUCCCGGCUUACCAACCCGAUGCAAACUGCGAAUACCGGAGAAUGUUAUCACGGGAGACACACGGCGGGUGCUAACGUCCGUCGUGAAGAGGGAAACAACCCAGACCGCCAGCUAAGGUCCCAAAGUCAUGGUUAAGUGGGAAACGAUGUGGGAAGGCCCAGACAGCCAGGAUGUUGGCUUAGAAGCAGCCAUCAUUUAAAGAAAGCGUAAUAGCUCACUGGUCGAGUCGGCCUGCGCGGAAGAUGUAACGGGGCUAAACCAUGCACCGAAGCUGCGGCAGCGAACGUAUCACUUAAAGCGAUUCAGCGGGUUACGAUUGACGGAGCGAAGCGACGUCAAAGCGUAUACAAAGUCGAGUCGGUUUAAGGAUACGUUCGUUGGGUAGGGGAGCGUUCUGUAAGCCUGUGAAGGUGUGUCGUGAGGCAUGCUGGAGGUAUCAGAAGUGCGAAUGCUGACAUAAGUAACGAUAAAGCGGGUGAAAAGCCCGCUCGCCGGAAGACCAAGGGUUCCUGUCCAACGUUAAUCGGGGCAGGGUGAGUCGACCCCUAA
This 568-nucleotide ribosomal RNA is filed under the name Salmonella enterica subsp. enterica serovar Corvallis. Its description in RNAcentral is "partial 23S ribosomal RNA". It matches the Rfam family "Bacterial large subunit ribosomal RNA", at positions 911 to 1394 of the family's 2925-position model. Lineage: Bacteria; Pseudomonadati; Pseudomonadota; Gammaproteobacteria; Enterobacterales; Enterobacteriaceae. The record is from RNAcentral.